This 253-nucleotide ribosomal RNA is filed under the name uncultured bacterium. RNAcentral's name for it is "partial 16S ribosomal RNA". It matches the Rfam family "Bacterial small subunit ribosomal RNA", at positions 524 to 776 of the family's 1533-position model. The record is from RNAcentral.
UACGGAGGGUGCGAGCGUUGUCCGGAAUCAUUGGGCGUAAAGGGCGCGUAGGUGGCGGGACAAGCGUGCGGUGAAAGCUCGGGGCUCAACCCCGCGUCGGCCGUGCGAACUGUUUUGCUUGAGCACUGUAGAGGCAGGCGGAAUUGCGGGUGUAGCGGUGGAAUGCGUAGAGAUCCGGAGGAAGACCGGUGGCGAAGGCGGCCUGCUGGGCAGUUACUGACACUGAGGCGCGACAGCGUGGGGAGCAGACAGG